UGAAAAGGGACACAGACUUCCAAGAUUAGAGAGCUGCUGAUGGAGAAUCGUUUCCUAUUGUUGUUGUUGAUUGCUGUGCAGCAGAGGACAAAGCCGGCUCCCAGGCGCCUUUGCUCCACCUGCCGUCGACCACUCUCUUCGGCCUCCCGC
Microtus oregoni (creeping vole) is the source of this 150-nucleotide long non-coding RNA. RefSeq lists it as uncharacterized. The transcript has 3 exons. Lineage: Eukaryota; Metazoa; Chordata; Mammalia; Rodentia; Cricetidae. The record is from RefSeq and is a predicted model, not a curated record.